RNAcentral lists this ribosomal RNA (445 nucleotides) under uncultured bacterium. RNAcentral's name for it is "partial 16S ribosomal RNA". It matches the Rfam family "Bacterial small subunit ribosomal RNA", at positions 354 to 796 of the family's 1533-position model. The record is from RNAcentral.
GUGAGGAAUAUUGGACAAUGGGCGCAAGCCUGAUCCAGCCAUGCCGCGUGCAGGAAGAAGCAUCUAUGGUGUGUAAACUGCUUUUGUACGGGAAGAAACACUCCCUCGUGAGGGAGCUUGACGGUACCGUAAGAAUAAGGAUCGGCUAACUCCGUGCCAGCAGCCGCGGUAAUACGGAGGAUCCAAGCGUUAUCCGGAAUCAUUGGGUUUAAAGGGUCCGUAGGCGGUUUAAUAAGUCAGUGGUGAAAGCCCAUCGCUCAACGAUGGAACGGCCAUUGAUACUGUUAGACUUGAAUUACAAGGAAGUAACUAGAAUAUGUAGUGUAGCGGUGAAAUGCUUAGAUAUUACAUGGAAUACCAAUUGCGAAGGCAGGUUACUACUUGUGGAUUGACGCUGAUGGACGAAAGCGUGGGGAGCGAACAGGAUUAGAUACCCGAGUAGUCC